UACGUAGGGUGCAAGCGUUAAUCGGAAUUACUGGGCGUAAAGCGUGCGCAGGCGGUGAUGUAAGACAGAUGUGAAAUCCCCGGGCUCAACCUGGGAACUGCAUUUGUGACUGCAUCGCUGGAGUGCGGCAGAGGGGGACGGAAUUCCGCGUGUAGCAGUGAAAUGCGUAGAUAUGCGGAGGAACACCGAUGGCGAAGGCAAUCCCCUGGGCCUGCACUGACGCUCAUGCACGAAAGCGUGGGGAGCAAACAGG
This 253-nucleotide ribosomal RNA is filed under the name uncultured bacterium. RNAcentral describes it as "partial 16S ribosomal RNA". It matches the Rfam family "Bacterial small subunit ribosomal RNA", at positions 524 to 776 of the family's 1533-position model. The record is from RNAcentral.